GGGCUCGUAGCUCAACGGUUAGAGCACCAAGCUUAUACCUUGGGGGUUCUUGGUUCGAAUCCAAGCGAGCCCACCA
Molecule: transfer RNA, 76 nt
Filed under: candidate division WWE3 bacterium RBG_16_52_45
Lineage: Bacteria; candidate division WWE3
Also listed under: 1 other name
Description: tRNA-Ile
Rfam family: tRNA
About the family: Transfer RNA (tRNA) molecules are approximately 80 nucleotides in length. Their secondary structure includes four short double-helical elements and three loops (D, anti-codon, and T loops). Further hydrogen bonds mediate the characteristic L-shaped molecular structure. tRNAs have two regions of fundamental functional importance: the anti-codon, which is responsible for specific mRNA codon recognition, and the 3' end, to which the tRNAs corresponding amino acid is attached (by aminoacyl-tRNA synthetases). tRNAs cope with the degeneracy of the genetic code in two manners: having more than one tRNA (with a specific anti-codon) for a particular amino acid; and 'wobble' base-pairing, i.e. permitting non-standard base-pairing at the 3rd anti-codon position.
Source: RNAcentral